This 491-nucleotide ribosomal RNA is filed under the name uncultured bacterium. RNAcentral's name for it is "partial 16S ribosomal RNA". It matches the Rfam family "Bacterial small subunit ribosomal RNA", at positions 29 to 507 of the family's 1533-position model. The record is from RNAcentral.
GUGCACGCUGGCGGUAGGCCUAACACCUGCCAGUCGCACGGCAGCACAGUAAGCGCUUGCUCUUACGGGUGGCGAGUGGCGGACGGGUGAGGAAUACAUCGGAAUCUACUUUUUCGUGGGGGAUAACGUAGGGAAACUUACGCUAAUACCGCAUACGACCUACGGGUGAAAGCAGGGGAUCUUCGGACCUUGCGCGAUUGAAUGAGCCGAUGUCGGAUUAGCUAGUUGGCGGGGUAAAGGCCCACCAAGGCGACGAUCCGUAGCUGGUCUGAGAGGAUGAUCAGCCACACUGGAACUGAGACACGGUCCAGACUCCUACGGGAGGCAGCAGUGGGGAAUAUUGGACAAUGGGCGCAAGCCUGAUCCAGCCAUACCGCGUGGGUGAAGAAGGCCUUCGGGUUGUAAAGCCCUUUUGUUGGGAAAGAAAAGCAGCAGGUUAAUACCCCGCUGUUCUGACGGUACCCAAAGAAUAAGCACCGGCUAACUUCGUG